GCCCUUAUAGCACAGUGGUAGUGCGUUGCACUUGUAUGCUCAGGGUUACACUCUCAGCAAGAGAUGCAAAGGUCACUGGUUCAAUCCCAGUUGGGGGCA
RNAcentral lists this transfer RNA (99 nucleotides) under Verticillium longisporum. Its description in RNAcentral is "Verticillium dahliae var. longisporum tRNA". It matches the Rfam family "tRNA". From Rfam's summary of the family: Transfer RNA (tRNA) molecules are approximately 80 nucleotides in length. Their secondary structure includes four short double-helical elements and three loops (D, anti-codon, and T loops). Further hydrogen bonds mediate the characteristic L-shaped molecular structure. tRNAs have two regions of fundamental functional importance: the anti-codon, which is responsible for specific mRNA codon recognition, and the 3' end, to which the tRNAs corresponding amino acid is attached (by aminoacyl-tRNA synthetases). tRNAs cope with the degeneracy of the genetic code in two manners: having more than one tRNA (with a specific anti-codon) for a particular amino acid; and 'wobble' base-pairing, i.e. permitting non-standard base-pairing at the 3rd anti-codon position. Lineage: Eukaryota; Fungi; Ascomycota; Sordariomycetes; Glomerellales; Plectosphaerellaceae. The record is from Rfam by way of RNAcentral.